AAGACCUUAGUAAAACCAUUACAUAGCCCUGUCAGAGCUAAAUUACAGAAUAGACCCCCUGUAGGCCUUA
RNAcentral lists this transfer RNA (70 nucleotides) under Sceloporus occidentalis. Its description in RNAcentral is "tRNA-Asp". The record is from RNAcentral. Lineage: Eukaryota; Metazoa; Chordata; Lepidosauria; Squamata; Phrynosomatidae.